UCCGCUUCUAACUUCCAUUUGCAG
Caenorhabditis elegans is the source of this 24-nucleotide microRNA. NCBI's taxonomy places the organism in Eukaryota, Metazoa, Nematoda, Chromadorea, Rhabditida, Rhabditidae. The record is from Ensembl.